RNAcentral lists this ribosomal RNA (473 nucleotides) under uncultured bacterium. Its description in RNAcentral is "SSU rRNA". It matches the Rfam family "Bacterial small subunit ribosomal RNA", at positions 26 to 518 of the family's 1533-position model. The record is from RNAcentral.
AGGACGAACGCUGGCGGCGUGCUUAACACAUGCAAGUCGAGCGGAAAGGCCCUUCGGGGUACUCGAGCGGCGAACGGGUGAGUAACACGUGAGUAAUCUGCCCCUAGCUCUGGGAUAGCUCCGGGAAACCGGGAUUAAUACUGGAUACGACCACCUUAGACAUCUUUUGUGGUGGAAAGAAUUUCGGCUAGGGAUGAGCUCGCGGCCUAUCAGCUUGUUGGUGGGGUAACGGCCUACCAAGGCGACGACGGGUAGCCGGCCUGAGAGGGCGACCGGCCACACUGGGACUGAGACACGGCCCAGACUCCUACGGGAGGCAGCAGUGGGAAUAUUGCGCAAUGGGCGAAAGCCUGACGCAGCGACGCCGCGUGGGGGAUGAAGGCCUUCGGGUUGUAAACCCUUUCAGCAGGGACGAAGCGAAAGUGACGGUACCUGCAGAAGAAGACGCCGGCUAACUACGUGCCAGCAGCCGC